Molecule: ribosomal RNA, 460 nt
Filed under: uncultured bacterium
Lineage: Bacteria
Description: partial 16S ribosomal RNA
Rfam family: Bacterial small subunit ribosomal RNA
Source: RNAcentral
CCUACGGGUGGCAGCAGUGAGGAAUAUUGGUCAAUGGGCGGUAGCCUGAACCAGCCAAGUAGCGUGAAGGAUGAAGGCUCUAUGGGUCGUAAACUUCUUUUAUAUAAGAAUAAAGUGCAGUAUGUAUACUGUUUUGUAUGUAUUAUAUGAAUAAGGAUCGGCUAACUCCGUGCCAGCAGCCGCGGUAAUACGGAGGAGGCGAGCGUUAUCCGGAUUGAUUGGGCUUAAAGGGAACGUAGGUGGACUGGUAAGUCAGUUGUGAAAGUUUGCGGCUCAACCGUAAUAUUGCAGGUGAUACUAUAAGUCUUGAGUAUCGGAGAGGAUUGCAGAAUUCGUGGUGUAGCGGUGAAAUGCGUAGAUAUCACGAGGAAUACCGAUAGCGAAGGCAGCAAUCUGGCUUGAAACUGACACUGAUGUGCGAAAGCGUGGGUAGCAAACAGGAUUAGAUACCCUGGUAGUC